RNAcentral lists this ribosomal RNA (107 nucleotides) under uncultured bacterium. RNAcentral describes it as "partial 16S ribosomal RNA". The record is from RNAcentral.
CCGUUACGGUUGUAAAGCUUCUUUUGUCGAAGGGAAAGAAACGGUGUAUUUCUAAUACGGAUUGCUAAUGACGGUACCUGAAGAAUAAGCACCGGCUAACUACGUGC